Molecule: ribosomal RNA, 107 nt
Filed under: Caerostris darwini
Lineage: Eukaryota; Metazoa; Arthropoda; Arachnida; Araneae; Araneidae
Source: RNAcentral
ACGGCCAUACCAUGCUGAAUAUACCGGUUUUCGUUAGAUCACCGAAGUCAAGCAUCAUUGGGCGCGGUCAGUACUUGGGUGGGGGACCACCUGGGAACACCGCGUGC